Molecule: transfer RNA, 77 nt
Filed under: Cronartium comandrae C4
Lineage: Eukaryota; Fungi; Basidiomycota; Pucciniomycetes; Pucciniales; Coleosporiaceae
Description: tRNA-Ser (AGA) (tRNA-Ser-AGA-7-1)
Rfam family: tRNA
About the family: Transfer RNA (tRNA) molecules are approximately 80 nucleotides in length. Their secondary structure includes four short double-helical elements and three loops (D, anti-codon, and T loops). Further hydrogen bonds mediate the characteristic L-shaped molecular structure. tRNAs have two regions of fundamental functional importance: the anti-codon, which is responsible for specific mRNA codon recognition, and the 3' end, to which the tRNAs corresponding amino acid is attached (by aminoacyl-tRNA synthetases). tRNAs cope with the degeneracy of the genetic code in two manners: having more than one tRNA (with a specific anti-codon) for a particular amino acid; and 'wobble' base-pairing, i.e. permitting non-standard base-pairing at the 3rd anti-codon position.
Source: RNAcentral
GUGCACUUAGCUCAGUGGUUAGAGCACCCUUCUAGAGAGGGUAAAAUAAGUCAUGGGUCCAAAUCCCAUAGUGCACA